CGGGAAAACUGGGGAUAAUACCCUAUAGGUUACAGAUGCUGGAAUGCCCUGUAACCAAAAGCUCCGGCGCCCUAGGAUGGAUCUGCGGCCGAUUAGGUUGUUGUUGGGGUAACGGCCCAACAAGCCCGUAAUCGGUACGGGUUGUGGGAGCAAGAGCCCGGAGUUGGAUUCUGAGACACGAAUCCAGGCCCUACGGGGCGCAGCAGGCGCGAAACCUUUACAAUGCGGGCAACCGUGAUAAGGGAACCUCGAGUGCCUGUAAACGCAGGCUGUUCAGGUGUUUAAAACGCACCUGGAGAAAGGGCCGGGCAAGACCGGUGCCAGCCGCCGCAGUAAUACCGGCGGCUCGAGUGGUGGCCGCUUUUAUUGGGCUUAAAGCGUUCGUAGCUGGGUUGUUAAGUCUCUUGGGAAAUCUGGCGGCUUAACCGUCAGGUGUCUAAGGGAUACUGGCAAUCUUGGAACCGGGAGAGGUGAGGGGUACUUCGGGGGUAGGGGUGAAAUCCUGUAAUCCUCGAGGGACCACCUGUGGCGAAGGCGCCUCACCAGAACGGCUUCGACAGUGAGGGACGAAAGCUG
This 576-nucleotide ribosomal RNA is filed under the name unidentified archaeon. Its description in RNAcentral is "bacterial SSU rRNA". It matches the Rfam family "Archaeal small subunit ribosomal RNA", at positions 133 to 713 of the family's 1478-position model. The record is from RNAcentral.